This 148-nucleotide non-coding RNA is filed under the name Pan troglodytes (chimpanzee). Lineage: Eukaryota; Metazoa; Chordata; Mammalia; Primates; Hominidae. The record is from Rfam by way of RNAcentral.
GCCGGGCAUGGUGGUGCAUGCCUGUAAUCCCGGAUACUAGGGAGGCCGAGGCAGAAGAAUCACUUGAACCCAGGAGGCAGAGGUUGCAAUGAGCUGAGAUCGCACCACAGCACUCCAGCCUGGGUGACAGAGUGAGACUCUGUCUCAA